This 253-nucleotide ribosomal RNA is filed under the name uncultured bacterium. RNAcentral describes it as "partial 16S ribosomal RNA". It matches the Rfam family "Bacterial small subunit ribosomal RNA", at positions 524 to 776 of the family's 1533-position model. The record is from RNAcentral.
UGCGUAGGGGGCCAGCGUUGCUCGGAAUAACUGGGCGUAAAGGGUUCGUAGGCGGUGCGGCAAGUUGGGAGUGAAAUCUCUGGGCUUAACCCAGAGACUGCUUUCAAAACUGCCGUGCUAGAGUGUGGGAGAGGCCAGUGGAAUUGCAGGUGUAGCGGUGAAAUGCGUAGAUAUCCGCAGGAACAUCCGAGGCGAAAGCGGCUCGCUGGAUCACAACUGACGCUGAGGGACGAAAGCUAGGGGAGCAAACAGG